CCCUGUUUUGAAAUAAUUAUAAAUUUCCAUAAAGUGUAAUCAUAACAAUUGGCGACGAGUGGGAUUUCUGCGGAUAUUACGGCUUGUGCUAUUUUUUUUUCUAAGCCGUACUCGUUUAUUUGGAGAGUGAGUUCCGUCAUUUCCUCACUUUGCUCCGAGUGUUUGGCAGCACGGUCGGUGCUCGAAAAUUGAGUGACCUUCUCAUCACUGAGCUGAAUUUUUUUUCCGUUGACGUUUGGAGAGUGACUGACAGCUGGUGUUCAAGAGUGUUGGUGAGUUGCAUCGGUCGGAAUUUAGCUGUUGCAUUCGGAAGCCAAACUUUACGUAGAAUUUCGUCGAAAGAAAUAAGCUGAAUCCGCUAUUUGGUUGGGUUCAAUUGCUGUUGCUGUUGCUGAAGUGGUUAGUUGUUGUUGCUGUUGUUGGACCUUUGCGCUGCUGGGAGAGGAUUGCUGAAGUUGUAAGUGUGCUGUUUAGCAUUGAUCAGUUCGGUUGGUUAUCCAUUUCGAGUGGCUGCAGUAUAAUUGCAGAGGAGUGUUUUGUUUUCGGGAACAACAUUUGAUUCAGGUUUCCCUGGGAGGACGAGUCAUUUUGGCGCACAAACGCCAGUUGAAGGUCUGUGACGAUUCACAUCGGAAAGCUAGGCGUUCUACAGCUUUCAACGAGGGACGGUUCUUGGAAUUGAAUCGAUCUGACAAUUUUGCCUCGUUAGGAAACGAUGUUGAACCAGUUCUACCGCACGCUGAAUUACCCGUGGAGCCUGGCCGCAGUGCUAGUUUCAAAAGGAGAAGACAUAAAGAUGAAGAAGCAGAUAGUGAUUCCGAUAGUGAUUUUUAUGGGUUUGCUGCCGACUCUUUCAUCUUUUCGGAGAAUGAAAAUAUUAGGAAUGAAGAUAGAGAUUAUGAUUCAGGAAAGAUCAGAAGAUCAAAAAGAUCCACGAAAAGAAAAAGGAUAGACGAUUUUGUUUAUUAUUAGUACACAUCGAUAAAUUUAGUGAUAGGUGAAGUUUCAUUAUUUUGAUUUGGUAUUUUCAAUACUCUCGAUUAGAAACAUGAAUUUAAAAUCAUAGGAUUAGCUUUGAAAUGAAUGUAUAAUUUAAAUUGAUUGAAAUUUGAAAACUAUCUACUAACUUCUAAUGGAUGAAGGAGUUGUAGUGUUCGGCCAAAUAGGAUUUCGAGUUCCUGUUAAAACCCCUUCUGGGAACACUGUGUCGCGACAAGCAAAAGAAGAUUAUAGCAUAGGACUAAAUUGUACAUAUGAAUAAACGAAGCCCUCACUUUUGAAGGUGACUUCAAACUGAA
Uranotaenia lowii is the source of this 1298-nucleotide long non-coding RNA. RefSeq lists it as uncharacterized. NCBI's taxonomy places the organism in Eukaryota, Metazoa, Arthropoda, Insecta, Diptera, Culicidae. The record is from RefSeq and is a predicted model, not a curated record. The transcript is spliced from 3 exons.